Long non-coding RNA from Astyanax mexicanus (Mexican tetra), 1027 nucleotides. RefSeq lists it as uncharacterized. NCBI's taxonomy places the organism in Eukaryota, Metazoa, Chordata, Actinopteri, Characiformes, Acestrorhamphidae. The transcript has 2 exons. The record is from RefSeq and is a predicted model, not a curated record.
CUUGUCUAGUUGUGUUUCUGUUCCUGUCCCAGUCACUGUAUUGGUUUCUGUCCCCAUCCGAGUUAUGGUCCCUGUUCCUUUAUCUAAUUUUGCCCCGUCAACUGCCCAGUCUUUUGCUCGGUCCCCUGUUCAGUCCCCAUAUGCAUCCCUGGUCCAGUCUGUUUCAACCCCUGGUUCUGUGUUCGGCCCUGUUCCACCUUUGUUUCAGCCUCCUGUCCAGUCUUCGUCUAUGUUAAGUGUCCAGCCCCUAGUUCAGUCUUUCGUCCAGUCUAAGUCCCCUGUCCUGUCUCAGCCCUCUGUCCAGUCUAAGUCCCCUGUCCUGUCUCAGCCCUCUGUCCAGUCUAAGUCCCCUGUCCUGUCUCAGCCCUCUGUCCAGUCUAAGUCCCCUGUCCUGUCUCAGCCCUCUGUCCAGUCUUUCGUCCAGUCUAAGUCCCUUGUCCAGUCUCUUUCUCCGUCCACUGUCCAGUCUCCCCUGAUGUCCAAUGUCUAGUCCUUAGUCCAGUCCCCUGUCUUGUCCUGUGUUCUUCCCCUGUUCUUGUCUAGACUUGUCUUUCGUUCUGUUCCCUCUCUCAUCUCGGCGCCUCUGGUAGUGGCGCCGUUGAGGGGGGGUAAUGUUACACCUUAGCCUGUGUCUGUCCAGUGUCUUUCCUUUUUUGGUUCCUUCCUGCUCCUGUCCUCUGUUCUCGUGUUUUGUUUACCUGUCAUGUUUCCCAGCCAUGUGCUACUGUGUUUUGGUCAUGUCUCCGCCUUAGCCCCGCCUUGUCAUCUGUAACCCCUCCUGUCUCCUUUGUAACCCCGCCCCCCUCAUUACCUCCACAGGUGUCCCUAGUGUGUGCCUGUGUAUAAAUACCCCAUGUGCUCCUUUGUAGUUUGUCGCAUCUUUUGUCUCAAUUUGUCAUGUUACUCUGUCCAGAUUGUGUUUAUCUGUUUUGUUUAGCCACAGACCUGCUGUGUUGUUUGUCCUCAGUGUCUCAGUGUUCUUUUCUUUGUUAGUUUAAAUAUGGAAAAUAAAAAAGACUUGCGUUUA